RNAcentral lists this long non-coding RNA (2247 nucleotides) under Apteryx rowi (Okarito brown kiwi). RNAcentral's name for it is "lncRNA (ENSARWG00000005071.1)". The record is from RNAcentral. Lineage: Eukaryota; Metazoa; Chordata; Aves; Apterygiformes; Apterygidae.
GUCAAGCAGGCUGUCCUCAGGGCGAUGGGUGCCAUGAUGGGUGUCUUCCUGCAUGUGGAGGAGCACCGCGAGCACACCUGGGAGCAGCUCCUUUGGCUAUCAAGUUGGGAGAGGACUGUGGAGGGGCUGAUGCCUUUGGGUGUACAAUGUCCUUAGGCAAGCAGUGCCUUAGAGGGAGAAAGCCAAGGCUCCAGUGGGCUGCAAGGCGUCCAAGAAGUCCAGGACGCCUUCAGGGUGACUAUGUCUCAGCUCUUUUCUGGAGGUCUUGGUGGGCAUUCAGACCCUUAUGCCCCAGGCCAAACUUCUGGCCAUCGGCACUGUUGUGCACUGGCAGGUAAGGCCUUACGCCAUGUUGCUGGCCUGGGGCUGGCAGAGUGGGUCCCCACAGAGGGGACAGAGCUGCCGGUUGGCAGGGCUGGGCAUCCCUCCGUUGAGAGCCACCUGAAGGCCAGGGCUGUGCAGGGGCUGUGAGCCAUGGCCCAUGUUGGCACCUUGAGGCUACUGGGGACCUGGAUGGGCUGUUUUGCACCAGCCCAGGGGACAGUCUGGUUCACAGAGCAAUUCCCCUCUGGGCUGAGUUGCAGGAGGGCUCCAGAGGGCAGGACCCACCAGGAGCCUUCGAACGCUGCUCAGCCUUGGCUCCUGGGCAGCCGUAGCUGCUGCAAAGCUCUGCAUGUGCCCGGCUCUGGGUUUUGGCCUUGGGUCCAUGCCCAGAGCUGCCCAUGAGAUGAGAGCUGACAGUGCAGUUUCUUUUCCGUCCCUCUCCACACUGAUCUGGCUUUCUCCAAAAUGCACCUUGUUGCCAACGCCCUGUGAUGAGAUCAAGCAGCCCAGUCCAGAACACAGAGCAGAACUGUGCUGCUGCAUCAUGCUGCAGGCCCGAAUUUGCCCAGAAGAGACAGUUGUGUUCCUCCAGCCUGAGCUGAGCAGUGGGUGUGAGGCCAGUUGCGUGGCAGCUGUGGAUCUGCUGCAAGCUCUGGUCCGCUCUGAAGCCUCUGAGAUGAGGGAGAAGCUGUCCCUGAUAGUGACAGCCGUGUGCAGUCUGUGUGCUGUGACCCUGCGGCCCGGGGAGCUGCUGUGCUCCAGUGCCCCAAGCUGCUUGGCAUGGGAUGUGAUGGGGCAUGUCUUCAGUGAGUUCAGCCAGGCCUCAGGCAGACUGGUGACAGGAAACCUUUGUGCUGGGGAAGCCCAGGAAGAAAAGGCUGUUCAGCGCCUGUGUGCCCACAUCCUGAGCACGCUGGACGUCUCUGCCAGAGGGGUGGCCAAAGGAAUGACUUCUGUUUUGUUCCGCUGUGCCAAAAGCCAUUUCCAGCUGGCCUUGUCCUUGGUCGAGGAGUUCACAGAGACUUUUCAACAGCAGGAGGAGGCGAUUCAGGAGGAGCCCCAGGAGUCCCUGUUGUGCCCCCAGGCCAUCAUGGUCAUGGAGCAGUUGAGGUAGGGUCUGUCCCCGGGCUGUGGGAGUCGCUGCGUGUCCCAGCCCAGCUGGCUGGUGUGGCUGGGGCUGCGGGUGUUGGAUUUGGGGCUGUCGAUUGGGACAAAGCCAGUCGUCCUUUGACUCGCUCUGGAGAGUGCUAGUAAGCCCCCUUUCUGUUUUCUCUCCUUUUUUUCUCCUGGCAGCAAGCUGCAGCCCCAUCUGAGCAGGGAGGAAAACUGCAGCCUCCUGGCUCAGUGCUGCCAGGGCAUCGUGUGCCUUCGUCACCUGGAGCAGAUGGAAGAGGAAGGGGAGGUGGCGGCAGCUCCUGCAUGCGCAUGAGUACCCGCUGACCCUUCUCAGCUGCCCCUCGGUGGGGGCCCAGCCAUGGGCGCCCCAUGCUCUGGCAGCCACUGGCCACGCUGGUGUCUCCGUGGGGUGCCCAGCCUCAGUCCCCCUUUCUGGUGUCAGGAUGUGCAUGCGCUGUCCCUGCAAGUGCUGGGCCAGCUCAUGGCAGCCCUUCUCCAGACAGAGCUGGCCCCUGCCUGCUUUGAGGAUGUGGUGCAGGUGAGUGUCCCUGGGGUGGCAGGGAAAGCAUUGCCGCUGCCAGAGUGGGGCAGAGCUGUGGGGGAUCCCGCCUGCAGGGCUGGUCCGAGGAGGGGAGCUUGCCUGUAACUAGGUGCAACACCCCAAAUUGGCAGAGAGUGAAAUGGUCCUGGUUUCAGGCCCCCUUGCCCAAAUUUUGCAUCCAAGCUUUUCCCAUCGGCAGCAGCUUCCUUGCAGGCAGCUUGCAGUGUCCUGCAGAGUCCCCUAGAUGAGCUAGAGCUUCUCCCCAG